AAAAUGGGGGGAAAUGUUCAUAUUUAAUUUUAUUUUAGAUGAGUAGCCCCAAUUCCAUGACAGCUUCUUUAAAAGAAAGAUUUCUAAAUCUGUGAAAUCGGUUAUCUAAAGUGGCCUGUGUUUCAUGUCCUGUGGUAUGAUAAAUGCUCAAACACAAGCCAAUAAAGCAAAUUCUCUGCUGUUUAUUUAACCAUGGUAGAUUUAACAGUUUAGUUCUUUGCUAGCCCUUAUCAGCAUUAGGUGAUCUAGGGCACAGCUGUCUUUCUUGAAGAAAACAAAUGAGAAUAUUUCUAAUUCAGUUUGAAAACCACAGCUGCAAUUUACCUUGUUGUGAAAAAUGUUGAAAUUUUUGUACCUUAAUUACAGUAGGCUAUUAUUACCUAAUACAAAAUUCUAGCUUCAAAGAUCUAGUUAAAAAGCAACAAUCUGGAAAAUGAUCGAUUAUUCAGAUAGCUAAAACAAAUAGGGCAAGAAAUUACUAGGUUCCUCUCAGGACACAAAUCCCUUCAUUGGUGCGUCUGUGAGUGUUGAG
This 532-nucleotide long non-coding RNA is filed under the name Bos taurus (domestic cattle). RNAcentral's name for it is "long non-coding RNA NONBTAT025322". Lineage: Eukaryota; Metazoa; Chordata; Mammalia; Artiodactyla; Bovidae. The record is from RNAcentral.